UCGACGCAAGCGCUAGAGGAUGGCCCUGCGGCGUUGCCAUGGUUACAGGCGCCGCGCUCCGCGCGGGCCGGCCUGAGCUUCUGGGGCGGGCAGCGGGCUCCGGAAGUGUGCAGCUGCCCGGGACCAUGGCGGUGCUUGCUGCUGGGGAUGGCGGCUUGCUCGGCCAGGCGACUAGUUCUGGCCUGGUCAGUAGGCGGCCGACAUCUUGUCUGGGGCGGCGUCUCACAGAUGCCAGGUACCUUCUGUGUGACGUCAACCCUCCAGAGGGAUUCAGCCUCCGUAGGAACGUCUGCAUCCACAUUGCCUUCCUCCUGAAGACCCUGCUGAAGAUGGAGGAGCCGGUACUGGUGCUAUUCCCUUGGGGCCACCUCUACCACUGGCAGAGCCCCGAUCCCUGGUCCGACUCCUUUGACCUCCCAAGUCUCAACAGAAACAUCCCUGACAUUGAGUACGAGCAGUUCAUUGCAGGGUUCAAUUGGUGAUAAUAAUAGUAACCAAAGCAAUAGCAAACCCUUACAGAACUCUGUCCUGCUGUUCCAUGAACGCUGUGUUCAUGACAACCCAAUGAGUUCGCACCACUAUGAGUUCCACUUUAAAGCAGAUGGCCUUGCCUCCUGCUUCAGAGAGAAUGACAUGUUACUGGAAAGGAUCUCGCUCACCUGCAGCAAACCUGCUCACCUCAAAUUUUAUCUGUCUCUCUCCCACCUGGACUCUAGCUGUAGUUGUUCUUAAUUUAGUGAGUUUAGUUGUCAUAUAUAUACACAGUUAAAAGCAUAGCAAACUAUAGGCCACCUUCUAGGGCUUACUUUUUCAAUUUAACAUAGAGUGUAUGAUUCAUCCAUUUCAUUGCAUGUACCUGCAGUGCAUUUGUUUUAACUGAUCUUAAAUAUUGUGUGUGUGAAAAUAACACAAGAGAAGGGUAAGCCAGGAGUCAGGAUGAUGGUUAUUUCCUAUGAGAAGAGGCCAAGAACAGGAUAGGGAAAGAGGACACAGUAUGUCUCUGUCAAUAUUCCUGUUAUGAUGCUGGGUGAUAUGUUCAUAACUGUGUCUUUUAAUAUUAAUUUUAAUACAUAAAUACCUCUGACAGGCAUCUAUGAUGAGAAUGUGUCAUGAACCAAGACAUACAAUGGGUAAUAUUACAUCAUUAUUGUUAUGUAAUCUUGUUAUAUUAUAUAUUAAUGAUAAUCUUACAUUAUUUGUUAUGGGUUAUAUAUUACAUAGAUGCAUGAAUUAUAUGUUAUGUAUAUAAACACCUACAUAUAUAUUAUAUACUAUCUGCUAAUAAAUAAACAGAACAUAAUAUGCUAGUAUAUCUUCUAUUAUGUAUUAUUUAAUAAAUAAUAACAUACUAUAUCUUGUUAUAUGACAUGGCACAUAAUCUUUAAUAAAAUAAGAAAUCUGUCAAUAUAUAUUGGUAAUUAAUAAAAUUUUAAAAAAAAGCCCUCAGCUUUUAACACCAACACCGCUCCAGCUGUCACUGUCUUUUCUCUUCCCUUUCAUGGUCGAGGUACUCACGGUGCUAUCCAUUCCCCCUUUCAUCUCCUUAUCCUGAACCUUCUUCCUCCUCCCUUCCCAUGCUGGCUUCUGCCGCG
RNA transcript from Camelus dromedarius (Arabian camel), 1592 nucleotides. It is a transcript of the gene named GDP-fucose protein O-fucosyltransferase 2-like, with no coding region annotated. The record is from RefSeq and is a predicted model, not a curated record. The transcript is spliced from 4 exons. Lineage: Eukaryota; Metazoa; Chordata; Mammalia; Artiodactyla; Camelidae.